AUCCAGUUGAUGAGUUCAAGAUAGGAUGAAACAUAAGUCUUGGAU
This 45-nucleotide non-coding RNA is filed under the name Trichobilharzia regenti. The record is from RNAcentral. Lineage: Eukaryota; Metazoa; Platyhelminthes; Trematoda; Strigeidida; Schistosomatidae.